Small nucleolar RNA from Colossoma macropomum (tambaqui), 72 nucleotides. RefSeq annotates it as small nucleolar RNA SNORD66. The record is from RefSeq and is a predicted model, not a curated record. The transcript has a single exon. NCBI's taxonomy places the organism in Eukaryota, Metazoa, Chordata, Actinopteri, Characiformes, Serrasalmidae.
CUGAAAUGACUGCAUUUGAGCAACUUGUAUGAGACACUGAGACAUCAUGCUGGUAAUCAGGCUCUGAAUCAG